GAACGAGAAAGUGGAGCAAUCCAUGAGUAAAGUGGCGACCGGGUGAGUAACACGUGACUAACCUACCUCCGAAUGGGGAAUAACUCCGGGAAACCGGGGCUAAUACCGCAUAACACCGCAAGGUCAAAGCAGCAAUGCGUUUGGAGAGGGGGUCGCGGCUGAUUAGCUAGUUGGCGGGGUAACGGCCCACCAAGGCGAAGAUCGGUAUCCGGCCUGAGAGGGCGACCGGCCACACUGGGACUGAGACACGGCCCAGACUCCUACGGGAGGCAGCAGUGGGGAAUAUUGCGCAAUGGGCGAAAGCCUGACGCAGCAACGCCGCGUGGGGGAUGAAAGCCUUCGGGUCGUAAACCCCUUUCAGCAGGGACGAAGCGAGAGUGACGGUACCUGCAGAAGAAGCGCCGGCUAACUACGUG
This 416-nucleotide ribosomal RNA is filed under the name uncultured bacterium. RNAcentral describes it as "bacterial SSU rRNA". It matches the Rfam family "Bacterial small subunit ribosomal RNA", at positions 64 to 507 of the family's 1533-position model. The record is from RNAcentral.